AGCUGGGGUGCAUGACUUAUUUAAACAUCUGGCAGACGCUGUUGUAUUACACUAUGUGAGGCACGGACAUGUUGAGGAAGUAUUGACAGGUUGAACGGCGAGGUUUUUGUGUUUGUGUUAGACAGGGCCACACAUUGUUGGCGAACUUUCCUAGCCAUGAGUACCUGACGGUGAUUUUCCCAGCCGUGGGUACCGGACGGCUAACGCUUCAACGAGAGCUACACCAGUCCUGUCUUCUCAUUCCCGUGUCCCUCCUGUCUACUCGCCUGCCUCGUCCUGGUCCUCUACUCUCCUGUUUUCUGCAAACCUCCUACUCAUCUGCUCGUCCUAGUCUCCUCAGCCAUCCCUGCCCUACCCUGGCCUCUCUCGAAGACAAUCCCAAAGCUUUGUUGAUGGUGAGAAACCGUGUCCAGGAAGCCUUGAGAGUCUCUGUCCUGCCCAGACAAAGUGGCACCGCACCCAUAUUUGUGUACACCCGACCUGACUUUGUUGCUCAGAACAGAUGCUUCCUCAGCCAGGGAGACCAAGUCGGCACCAUUGAGGAGAGUGUGGGCAAAGGAGUCCCUGGUGCUGUACUGUGGGGGGCCAGUGCUAACUAUGAUAGCCUGGUAACAUCACACCGUAGACUUCUACUGGACUGCUGAAAGACAUGACAGCACAGUAAUGGCAGUAAGGCAAACACAGACAAUGAGAUCAGUUAGAUAAUACUGGAAUAAAAUCUGUGUCUGAGUGACACACUGAAGGAUUGUGGUUCAAGACUGAAAUGUGCUAGCUUGUUUUCAGCGCCUCUGUAUAUUAUUGAACACCACCUAAUGUAAUGAUAAACACAAAACUGUGCUGUUAUAUCACUGUAACUCAUCCACUGUUAUAAACUAAUGACAAGCUGCUGGCCUUGUGCUAUGCUAUGUUCUCCAUGAUGUGUCUUGGACAGAUUUCUUGUUUUUAUAAUUUUCAAAUGUGGAAAACGUCGGCUCAUCUUUGCCUGCAACUGCUGACAUUGUAGAACAAACCAAAAAAUAUUUUUUUUCAGUUUCGGAACUUAUUCCAAAUCUUGCUCCUCUUUUCUCUUUCAGCACCACUCUAACCUUAAUAUUAGUAAUUCAUUAGCUCAUUCAUUCCCUCAGCUGAAAAUAAUGUGGUAGUUCUACUUAGAGUGAAGUAUUUUUUAAGAAAGUAAUUGCAUUUUUGCUUGAGUAUUGAGCUUGUGUACUUCUACUACCACUGGCAGAAUUUGUGCUGUCCAUGUCGAGCAUUGAGCUGGACCUGCAUCCUGUCUGCCGCUUCUCAGGUGUUAUCUUUACUGCUCUUCAGAUGUAGGAAUCAAGUUUGAUUAAUCUUAACCUCAAUGAAUUGAAUUAAUCCACCUUAAGAAUCCUGCAUUAUUCCCUUGUUACUGCUUUAACAAUGUGUGCAGCUUUAUGGGUGUAAAAUGUAGCAGUUACAGUAUAUAAUAUCAGUUAUCAUAUACUUGCAACUACAUACACUUAAAUGUGCACGGUGCAAACAUAAUAUAGAGACCAGUUCACUGCCACACACAUGUAUAAAUGGCAACAAAAGCACAGUGAUCCUCAGAAAAGUAAAUUUUCUCCUAGAGGUUUUGGACUCAGACAUUAAGCAAAAUGCUUUUUAUUUACCCCUUUGGUUCCUCUCUGUCUUGUUUAAUUUUUCACAACAGUAUCUCACCAAGGAAGC
This is an RNA transcript of Monopterus albus (swamp eel), 1692 nucleotides long. It is a transcript of the gene named hyaluronidase PH-20-like, with no coding region annotated. NCBI's taxonomy places the organism in Eukaryota, Metazoa, Chordata, Actinopteri, Synbranchiformes, Synbranchidae. The transcript has 3 exons. The record is from RefSeq and is a predicted model, not a curated record.